Molecule: small nucleolar RNA, 91 nt
Organism: Cajanus cajan (pigeon pea)
Lineage: Eukaryota; Viridiplantae; Streptophyta; Magnoliopsida; Fabales; Fabaceae
Rfam family: Small nucleolar RNA R24
About the family: snoR24 is a C/D box small nucleolar RNA which acts as a methylation guide for 18S ribosomal RNA in plants.
Source: Rfam
CUUGUGGUGAUGAGGCUAUAACAUGUAAGCAGAAAUCCGUAGUCGGGUUUCUUCAAUGAAAUUUACUUGUUACGCUUGGAUUCUGAGCUUU